This 668-nucleotide ribosomal RNA is filed under the name Pilobolus crystallinus. Its description in RNAcentral is "LSU rRNA". It matches the Rfam family "Eukaryotic large subunit ribosomal RNA", at positions 47 to 620 of the family's 3401-position model. Lineage: Eukaryota; Fungi; Mucoromycota; Mucoromycetes; Mucorales; Pilobolaceae. The record is from RNAcentral.
AAAGCGGAGGAAAAGAAAAUAACAAUGAUUUCCCUAGUAACGGCGAGUGAACAGGAAAGAGCUCAAAGUUGGAACCUGCUUGACUUAGUUAAGCCGGAUUGUAAACUGUAGAAACGUUUUCUAGGCAAGCCGAGUUAAAAAGUCCUUUGGAACAGGGCAUCAUAGAGGGUGAGAAUCCCGUCUUUGACUUGAGCAUUUGUCUUUUAUGAUACGUUUUCAAAGAGUCAGGUUGUUUGGGAAUGCAGCCUAAAUUGGGUGGUAAAUCUCACCUAAAGCUAAAUAUUGGCGAGAGACCGAUAGCGAACAAGUACCGUGAGGGAAAGAUGAAAAGAACUUUGAAAAGAGAGUUAAACAGUAUGUGAAAUUGUUAAAAGGGAACCGUUUGGAGCCAGACUGGCUUGGUUGUAAUCAAUCUGGGUUUUUUCCUUGAUGCACUUGCAAUCUAUGCCUGCCAACGGCAGUUUUCUUCAAUAGGGAGAAAACUAGCAGGAAUGUAGGUCGGCCUUCGGGUUGGCUGUUAUAGACUGUUAGAUAAUACCUUGAAGGGGACUGAGGAUCGCAGCGGAUGCUUAGGCGGUUCUGGGUGCUUUAUUUUUGCUUAUGCCGGUGAAAUUUCUAUUUAGGUAGUGUCAUCAGUAUCGGCGAGAAUACGGUAUCUUUUGAAUCUA